UGGGGAAUAUUGGACAAUGGAGGAAACUCUGAUCCAGCAAUUCUGUGUGUGUGAAGAAGGUUUUAGGACUGUAAAACACUUUUAGUAGGGAAGAAAAAAAUGACGGUACCUACAGAAGAAGCAACGGCUAAAUACGUGCCAGCAGCCGCGGUAAUACGUAUGUUGCGCGCGUUAUCCGGAAUUAUUGGGCUUAAAGGGCAUCUAGGCGGUAAGACAAGUUGAAGGUGAAAACCUGUGGCUCAACCAUAGGCUUGCCUACAAAACUGUUGAACUAGAGUACUGGAAAGGUGGGUGGAACUACACGAGUAGAGGUGAAAUUCGUAGAUAUGUGUAGGAAUGCCGAUGGUGAAGAUAACUCACUGGACAGAAACUGACGCUGAAGUGCGAAAGCUAGGGGAGCAAACAGG
RNAcentral lists this ribosomal RNA (407 nucleotides) under Verrucomicrobiota bacterium. Its description in RNAcentral is "Verrucomicrobia bacterium partial 16S ribosomal RNA". It matches the Rfam family "Bacterial small subunit ribosomal RNA", at positions 355 to 776 of the family's 1533-position model. Lineage: Bacteria; Pseudomonadati; Verrucomicrobiota. The record is from RNAcentral.